GCUGGGCAUAGGGUGCAUGCCUGUAAUCCCAGUAACUCUGGAGGCUGAGACAGGAGGAUCGCAAGGUUAAGACCCGCUUCAGCAAUUUAGCUAAACCCUCAGCAACUUAGUGAGGCCCUGUCUCAA
Molecule: small RNA, 126 nt
Filed under: Marmota monax (woodchuck)
Lineage: Eukaryota; Metazoa; Chordata; Mammalia; Rodentia; Sciuridae
Source: RNAcentral